Molecule: transfer RNA, 88 nt
Filed under: Pseudoflavonifractor phocaeensis
Lineage: Bacteria; Bacillati; Bacillota; Clostridia; Eubacteriales; Oscillospiraceae
Description: tRNA-Ser
Rfam family: tRNA
About the family: Transfer RNA (tRNA) molecules are approximately 80 nucleotides in length. Their secondary structure includes four short double-helical elements and three loops (D, anti-codon, and T loops).
Source: RNAcentral
GCAGCAGUGCGAGCAAAUGGUAGCUCGCCCGCCUGGAACGCGGGUGCUCCGUAAGGGGUUGCAGGUUCGAGUCCUGUCUGCUGCGCCA